AGACCACCACGAUGACUUGUAAGCAACUCACUGUAUUUUAGUACUGGAUUAUCUGAGUUUCUAACUCAGUGACGGAAGGCUACUGGGUGCAGUCAAGUACUUAUCAAGUCGGUGUGUGAGUCAAGAUGAAAUUGAUCCCUCUGAAUUAGUAGGAAAUAUGUAUCAGUGUAUCUGAAUUUAGAAAAAUCUUGAUCAGGAUAAUCUAUAAGAUAG
RNAcentral lists this long non-coding RNA (213 nucleotides) under Elaeis guineensis (African oil palm). RNAcentral describes it as "long non-coding RNA (EGUI_LNC017573)". The record is from RNAcentral. Lineage: Eukaryota; Viridiplantae; Streptophyta; Magnoliopsida; Arecales; Arecaceae.